RNAcentral lists this transfer RNA (72 nucleotides) under Camelus ferus (Wild Bactrian camel). It matches the Rfam family "tRNA". From Rfam's summary of the family: Transfer RNA (tRNA) molecules are approximately 80 nucleotides in length. Their secondary structure includes four short double-helical elements and three loops (D, anti-codon, and T loops). Further hydrogen bonds mediate the characteristic L-shaped molecular structure. tRNAs have two regions of fundamental functional importance: the anti-codon, which is responsible for specific mRNA codon recognition, and the 3' end, to which the tRNAs corresponding amino acid is attached (by aminoacyl-tRNA synthetases). tRNAs cope with the degeneracy of the genetic code in two manners: having more than one tRNA (with a specific anti-codon) for a particular amino acid; and 'wobble' base-pairing, i.e. permitting non-standard base-pairing at the 3rd anti-codon position. The record is from Rfam by way of RNAcentral. Lineage: Eukaryota; Metazoa; Chordata; Mammalia; Artiodactyla; Camelidae.
GGAGGCACAGCGCAGUGGAAGUGCAUGAGCCUGGCACGCACGAGGUCCUGGGUUCCAUCCCCAGUGCCUCCG